GCUUCAGAGAAAGAAGAGGUAAGGAAAUAUAAGUCAAUGUAAACGCAUAACGUUAUUUUAUUCACAUAUACAAAGUGGUAUGACAAAAAAGCACGAUGCCAAAUCGGGUUUUUUUCUGUUAGUUGCGAAUGUAUUCGUUAUAGUAGUUAAUUUGCUAGUCCACGGGAUGUUCCCGCCGAAAUUGGACUUCGUUAUUAUGAAUAUUAAUAAAUUAAUAUGAGGUGUGUUUUUAUCAACUUAACCACUUGGUUGUUUUUGCUUCAGAAAAGCAACUAGUUAUAAAUGUAAGGGCUUUUUUGGACAACUUCGGUGAAAAAGUGUUGAUUUCGUAGUUCAGUCAGCGUAACUUAUAUCCGAGAGGUCUUACAGGCGCCACAGACACCUAUCAGCCUUUUGUAAGGAGGAGCAGCUCGAGUGCGGUGCGGUCAGUAGCCCUUCAAAUUAGAAAAGUGAGGAUGAUCUUGUCAAUGCUGAGAUUUUCAUGCAUCAGCAGCCACUACAUCUGGAUCAGAUUGAACAAGAAACAGACAGCAAGGGUUGUCAGAUCAGAAACAGAAUGACACACAAACACAAGAAACUUCACAGGUG
Molecule: non-coding RNA, 588 nt
Organism: Paramisgurnus dabryanus
Lineage: Eukaryota; Metazoa; Chordata; Actinopteri; Cypriniformes; Cobitidae
Source: RefSeq, a predicted model, not a curated record